CAGGGAGACAACAAAAUGUUUAAUAUUAUUAUUUUGUCACCUUAGGUCGAUCGGUAUCUCACAUUUUUAAUUUAUUAAGAAUUUCAUUUCCUAAGUUUUUCUAGGUCACACCCAUUAUUUUUCCUGGGCCAUUAGCUCAGGUGGUUAGAGCGCACCCCUGAUAAGGGUGAGGUCCCUGGUUCAAGUCCAGGAUGGCCCAUAUCUCUAUGUUGGGGGUAUAGCUCAGUUGGUAGAGCGCCUGCUUUGCAAGCAGGAUGUCAGCGGUUCGAGUCCGCUUACCUCCACUGAUCACCACCUCUUCCAUAAUCGGUAGAAAGGAAAUUUUUUGAGUUGUGAUCAAAUUCUGAAAGAAUCUAGCUUCCUAAUGAAAUCAUUAAGAUGCUGGACUCAUUGAAUUAAUUUCAUUGUUUUCAGAGAACCUUGACAACUGCAUAGAUUAUUUUUAAAGACAAUAAGCAUCUUUAAUGAUGCAGAUUUAUUAUUUGUGCAAAUGCAUUAAUAACAAUUCUAUUAAGCUGAUGCUUCAAUUUUUGAAGUUAUU
Molecule: transfer RNA, 541 nt
Filed under: uncultured Prochlorococcus sp.
Lineage: Bacteria; Bacillati; Cyanobacteriota; Cyanophyceae; Synechococcales; Prochlorococcaceae
Description: partial 16S-23S ribosomal RNA intergenic spacer
Rfam family: tRNA (bases 212-284)
Source: RNAcentral